RNAcentral lists this ribosomal RNA (254 nucleotides) under Phocaeicola massiliensis. RNAcentral's name for it is "partial 23S ribosomal RNA". It matches the Rfam family "Bacterial large subunit ribosomal RNA", at positions 1 to 264 of the family's 2925-position model. Lineage: Bacteria; Pseudomonadati; Bacteroidota; Bacteroidia; Bacteroidales; Bacteroidaceae. The record is from RNAcentral.
AUAAAGAAAGUAAGCAAGGGCGCAUGGCGGAUGCCUUGGCUCUCGGAGGCGAUGAAGGACGUGAUAAGCUGCGAUAAGCUUCGGGGAGGUGCAAAUAACCUUUGAUCCGAAGAUUUCCGAAUGGGACAACCCAAUAUCUUGAAGAGAUAUUAUCCAACUCAGUUGGAGGCUAACGCAGGGAACUGAAACAUCUUAGUACCUGCAGGAAAAGAAAAUAAUAAUGAUUCCCCCAGUAGUGGCGAGCGAACGGGGAA